RNAcentral lists this long non-coding RNA (295 nucleotides) under Physcomitrium patens. Its description in RNAcentral is "long non-coding RNA (PPAT_LNC008259)". Lineage: Eukaryota; Viridiplantae; Streptophyta; Bryopsida; Funariales; Funariaceae. The record is from RNAcentral.
GAGAGCUAGCUUCAUGCUUUGGAAGGAAGAAAAAAGACAGAGAAUUGAAUUUUUUUUCUUCAUAGGGUUUUGGGAAGACUGAGGUAAUUGUUGCUGAAGUCGAUGUGUUGUACUGGUGAAUUGGGGUUUUAAUGAAGUGGGUGUGAUUACUCUUGACUGUUUUGGAAAAUCAAAGUUACGUCUGUGAUUGAAGAAUUAAAAGGGUAUCUAUAGGAUUGAGUAUGGGGAGUGAAUGAAAUUUUUUGGGUUAAUCUAACAAAACAGUCAGUGGAUAUAAGGUCGUGAGUAUAAAGCG